UGCUCGGUAGGGGAGUUCGGCCGUCCCCGUGGGCCCCAUAAGCCUAAGAUCGUCGGUUCAAAUCCGACCCGAGCCA
RNAcentral lists this transfer RNA (76 nucleotides) under Catenulispora acidiphila DSM 44928. RNAcentral describes it as "tRNA-Met (CAT) (tRNA-Met-CAT-2-1)". It matches the Rfam family "tRNA". From Rfam's summary of the family: Transfer RNA (tRNA) molecules are approximately 80 nucleotides in length. Their secondary structure includes four short double-helical elements and three loops (D, anti-codon, and T loops). Lineage: Bacteria; Bacillati; Actinomycetota; Actinomycetes; Catenulisporales; Catenulisporaceae. The record is from Rfam by way of RNAcentral.